This 771-nucleotide ribosomal RNA is filed under the name Halomonas ventosae. RNAcentral's name for it is "bacterial SSU rRNA". It matches the Rfam family "Bacterial small subunit ribosomal RNA", at positions 85 to 853 of the family's 1533-position model. The record is from RNAcentral. Lineage: Bacteria; Pseudomonadati; Pseudomonadota; Gammaproteobacteria; Oceanospirillales; Halomonadaceae.
CCGGCGUCGAGCGCGGACGGGUGAGUAAUGCAUAGGAAUCUGCCCGGUAGUGGGGGAUAACCUGGGGAAACCCAGGCUAAUACCGCAUACGUCCUACGGGAGAAAGCAGGGGCUCUUCGGACCUUGCGCUAUCGGAUGAGCCUAUGUCGGAUUAGCUUGUUGGUGAGGUAAUGGCUCACCAAGGCGACGAUCCGUAGCUGGUCUGAGAGGAUGAUCAGCCACAUCGGGACUGAGACACGGCCCGAACUCCUACGGGAGGCAGCAGUGGGGAAUAUUGGACAAUGGGCGCAAGCCUGAUCCAGCCAUGCCGCGUGUGUGAAGAAGGCUUUCGGGUUGUAAAGCACUUUCAGUGAGGAAGAAGGCCUUGGGGCUAAUACCCCCGAGGAAGGACAUCACUCGCAGAAGAAGCACCGGCUAACUCCGUGCCAGCAGCCGCGGUAAUACGGAGGGUGCGAGCGUUAAUCGGAAUUACUGGGCGUAAAGCGCGCGUAGGCGGCGUGAUAAGCCGGUUGUGAAAGCCCCGGGCUCAACCUGGGAACGGCAUCCGGAACUGUCAGGCUAGAGUGCAGGAGAGGAAGGUAGAAUUCCCGGUGUAGCGGUGAAAUGCGUAGAGAUCGGGAGGAAUACCAGUGGCGAAGGCGGCCUUCUGGACUGACACUGACGCUGAGGUGCGAAAGCGUGGGUAGCAAACAGGAUUAGAUACCCUGGUAGUCCACGCCGUAAACGAUGUCGACUAGCCGUUGGGGUCCUAGAGACCUUUGUGGCGCAGUU